RNAcentral lists this small nuclear RNA (22 nucleotides) under Arabidopsis thaliana (thale cress). RNAcentral's name for it is "snRNA_03921". The record is from RNAcentral. Lineage: Eukaryota; Viridiplantae; Streptophyta; Magnoliopsida; Brassicales; Brassicaceae.
ACCUUAGUUGAAGUAGCGAAAC